This is a long non-coding RNA of Oreochromis niloticus (Nile tilapia), 1521 nucleotides long. RefSeq lists it as uncharacterized. The record is from RefSeq and is a predicted model, not a curated record. Lineage: Eukaryota; Metazoa; Chordata; Actinopteri; Cichliformes; Cichlidae. The transcript is spliced from 3 exons.
UCUUGUUAUUGGCGUUAAAUUUAGCUCUGUGGUCCUCAGUGAGGAGUGGAAACAGUGACAGGGACCUGUUUUGCCACAACACACUUCCUGUGCACUGUGAGUAGUGAGUAAACCACAACCCAGUGACGCAACGUUCGGAAAAAAACCAAAAAAAAACAGAGCGAGCGAGCGAAAAAAAAAGAAAGCAACAAAGAAGAGAGGAAAAUCAGUAAUCAGGAAGUUGUGGCUUCAUUUGAAAAAGGAAAAUUGUUGACUGAACUGUAAAUGGAUACUGUAAGUGAACUUGUGUGAGUUUCCUGUGUGCGGACUUUCCCCUUUCAGAUAACACAAUGAUAAGUUUUCCAUGUUCCUGGAUUCUCACUGUGGUUCCUGCAUCAAGCUCAGUCACACCUGCACAAAGUCACGAGACGUGGACAAUGAUAUGAGACGCCGCUGUUCAUUAGCAUUACGCUAAUGUAUGCUGAUUGGUCGGUCAGCAUUCACUUCAACUGUGAAUUGAUGGCUUCAAUCAAAACAAACGCACGUGUGUGUGUAUGUGUGUGUAUGAAGCAGACAGCUGUGUUGAUCAAAGUUGCCGAUGGCUGAAAUUCUAUUGCGGUGCUAAAGAAAGGUCAGAAGAUCACCUGAGGUGCUGAGGUAAAGAGUUUUUAGCAGUGUUGAGGAGUUUGUGUGUGUUUGAGAGAAAAGGAAAACCUGUAUGAACGCAGUCAAACCCUCCGUCACUGCUCUUUCAGUCAGCUUCUCCUCAUAUAAUUUAUUGUUCUUCUCACUCCUUUAACUUCCACAUCUUCUAAAUCCUUGGAUCAGAUCUUGCAAAAAAAAAAAAGGCUCUUUAUGAAUCCCUCUGAUAAAAAAGUGAAACUGGAGUUUCUGCAACUUUAUUAACUGAACAAAAAUCUGAAAUGUAAGACAUGUUAAAGUUGCCUGAGCUGUUUUUUGUACAGCUGUGUGGGGCAAUAUUCAGACUUUCGCUGACUCUGAGGCUCCCCUGAGCGUCUUCUGGUGCCACUACACACACCCCUGAGGUUCACAGCUUUCUAAAACAUCCAUGAUCAAUUAGACACCAAUUAAACAACGUGUUAAUGAGCUGCCUAAUGACUUAACAGCCAUAUUUCCUCUGUGAGCUUUCUCUGCACAGGCUUAGGAUGCCUCCCUUGUGGGCAAAGACCGAGUGCCAGGAGUCGUAGAGUGGGUGUGCAGUGUGACUUAAUUUUGGUGUUAUUACAUCUUAUUCUCUUGACCCCCUCUCUCCAUUAUGUUUUGGUAGAAGAUGCCGUUUGAUCCCUUUAAUCAUGUAUUGGCUGUGCUUGGUGGAAUGGCUCGUGAGGGAUCUGAGGAGCAUACUGUAAAAAUUUGUAGUAGCACAGGAAUAAAAUAUUGGCGUUUGUUACAUAACGUGGCCUACUGCUAAAUUCGAUCCUGCAUGACUUGCAAUGUACAAUAUUGGAGCUCCGCAUUAGUCGUUCUACUGACCAGCAGUGCCCACGUGGGUUAGCGCAGCCAGGGCUACACACAAGCUGC